UAAUUGAAGAGUUUGAUCAUGGCUCAGAUUGAACGCUGGCGGCAGGCCUAACACAUGCAAGUCGGGCGGUAACAGGGAGAAGCUUGCUUCUCUGCUGACGAGCGGCGGACGGGUGAGUAAUGUAUGGGGAUCUGCCUGAUGGAGGGGGAUAACUACUGGAAACGGUAGCUAAUACCGCAUAAUGUCUUCGGACCAAAGCGGGGGACCUUCGGGCCUCGCGCCAUCAGAUGAACCCAUAUGGGAUUAGCUAGUAGGUGAGGUAACGGCUUACCUAGGCGACGAUCCCUAGCUGGUCUGAGAGGAUGAUCAGCCACACUGGGACUGAGACACGGCCCAGACUCCUACGGGAGGCAGCAGUGGGGAAUAUUGCACAAUGGGCGCAAGCCUGAUGCAGCCAUGCCGCGUGUAUGAAGAAGGCCUUCGGGUUGUAAAGUACUUUCAGUCGGGAGGAAGGUGU
This 457-nucleotide ribosomal RNA is filed under the name Morganella morganii. RNAcentral's name for it is "bacterial SSU rRNA". It matches the Rfam family "Bacterial small subunit ribosomal RNA", at positions 1 to 454 of the family's 1533-position model. The record is from RNAcentral. Lineage: Bacteria; Pseudomonadati; Pseudomonadota; Gammaproteobacteria; Enterobacterales; Morganellaceae.